RNAcentral lists this ribosomal RNA (998 nucleotides) under uncultured bacterium. Its description in RNAcentral is "bacterial SSU rRNA". It matches the Rfam family "Bacterial small subunit ribosomal RNA", at positions 355 to 1375 of the family's 1533-position model. The record is from RNAcentral.
UGGGGGAUAUUGCGCAAUGGGGGCAACCCUGACGCAGCAACGCCGCGUGAAGGAUGAAGGUUUUCGGAUUGUAAACUUCUUUUAUUAAGGACGAAAAUUGACGGUACUUAAUGAAUAAGCUCCGGCUAACUACGUGCCAGCAGCCGCGGUAAUACGUAGGGAGCAAGCGUUGUCCGGAUUUACUGGGUGUAAAGGGUGCGUAGGCGGCUUUGCAAGUCAGAUGUGAAAACUAUGGGCUUAACCCAUAAACUGCAUUUGAAACUGUGGUUCUUGAGUGAAGUAGAGGUAAGCGGAAUUCCUAGUGUAGCGGUGAAAUGCGUAGAUAUUAGGAGGAACAUCAGUGGCGAAGGCGGCUUACUGGGCUUUAACUGACGCUGAGGCUCGAAAGCGUGGGGAGCAAACAGGAUUAGAUACCCUGGUAGUCCACGCCGUAAACGAUGAUUACUAGGUGUGGGGGGACUGACCCCUUCCGUGCCGCAGCAAACGCAAUAAGUAAUCCACCUGGGGAGUACGACCGCAAGGUUGAAACUCAAAGGAAUUGACGGGGGCCCGCACAAGCAGUGGAGUAUGUGGAUUAAUUCGAAGCAACGCGAAGAACCUUACCAGGUCUUGACAUCGUAUGCAUAGCUCAGAGAUGAGUGAAAUCUCUUCGGAGACAUAUAGACAGGUGGUGCAUGGUUGUCGUCAGCUCGUGUCGUGAGAUGUUGGGUUAAGUCCCGCAACGAGCGCAACCCUUACUGUUAGUUGCUACGCAAGAGCACUCUAGCAGGACUGCCGUUGACAAAACGGAGGAAGGUGGGGAUGACGUCAAAUCAUCAUGCCCCUUAUGACCUGGGCCUCACACGUACUACAAUGGCUGUCAACAGAGGGAAGCAAAGCCGCGAGGUGGAGCGAACCCCUAAAAGCAGUCUUAGUUCGGAUUGUAGGCUGCAACCCGCCUACAUGAAGUCGGAAUUGCUAGUAAUCGCAGAUCAGCAUGCUGCGGUGAAUACGUUCCC